GACAGCGUGGCAUUGUAGGGCUCCACCACCGUGUCUGACACUUUGGGCGAGGGCACCAUGCUGAAGGUGUUUAUGAUGCGAUCUGGGAACUCCUCACAGAUCUUACUGAUG
RNAcentral lists this unclassified non-coding RNA (111 nucleotides) under Symphalangus syndactylus (siamang). RNAcentral's name for it is "microRNA mir-220 precursor". Lineage: Eukaryota; Metazoa; Chordata; Mammalia; Primates; Hylobatidae. The record is from RNAcentral.